This 477-nucleotide long non-coding RNA is filed under the name Brassica napus (rape). RNAcentral describes it as "long non-coding RNA (BNAP_LNC008456)". Lineage: Eukaryota; Viridiplantae; Streptophyta; Magnoliopsida; Brassicales; Brassicaceae. The record is from RNAcentral.
AAAAGGAAAACUUUCCUAUAAUAGAAUUUUUGAGAAUUUUAUUUUAAAAAUACAAGCUAUUGAUCAAAAAAUCUAAGACAAUACUCAUCUAUCAACAAAAGUUCUUGUUAUCCUAAUUUCUAAAUCACAACCCCAAAUCCACUAAUUUUUUUAUAAAAAUGAAAAUUUUCCUAAAAUAGAAUCACAAACCCAAAUCUACAAUAUUUCUGAAUAAAAAUUAAAACUUUCCUAAAUUAGAAAUUCUGAGUAUUUUAUUUAAAAAAACUGAGUAUUUUAUUUAAAAAAUACAUGCUAUUGAUCAAAAAAUCUAAGACAAUCAACAAAAAUUCAUGUUAUCCUAAUUUCUAAUCACAAACCCAAAUCUACAAUAUUUCUGAAUAAAAAUUAAAACUUUCCUAAAAUAGACUUUUUGGGAAUUUUAUUUUAAAAAUACAAGCUAUUGAUCAAAAAAUCUAAAAGAAUACUCAUCUAUCAACA